This 761-nucleotide ribosomal RNA is filed under the name uncultured bacterium. Its description in RNAcentral is "bacterial SSU rRNA". It matches the Rfam family "Bacterial small subunit ribosomal RNA", at positions 1 to 741 of the family's 1533-position model. The record is from RNAcentral.
GGUACCCGGGCGAAUUCCAAGCUUGAGUUUGAUCCUGGCUCAGGAUGAACGCUGGCGGCGUGCCUAAUACAUGCAAGUCGAGCGAGGCCCUUCGGGGCCUAGCGGCGGACGGGUGAGUAACACGUGGGUAACCUGCCUGUAAGACUGGGAUAACUUCGGGAAACCGAAGCUAAUACCGGAUAGUUUCGAGCAUCGCAUGAUGCUUGAUGGAAAGACGGUUUCGGCUGUCACUUACAGAUGGACCCGCGUCGCAUUAGCUAGUUGGUGAGGUAAUGGCUCACCAAGGCGACGAUGCGUAGCCGACCUGAGAGGGUGAUCGGCCACACUGGGACUGAGACACGGCCCAGACUCCUACGGGAGGCAGCAGUAGGGAAUCUUCGGCAAUGGGCGAAAGCCUGACCGAGCAACGCCGCGUGAGCGAUGAAGGCCUUCGGGUCGUAAAGCUCUGUUGUUAAGGAAGAACAAGUACGAGAGUAACUGCUCGUACCUUGACGGUACUUAACGAGAAAGCCACGGCUAACUACGUGCCAGCAGCCGCGGUAAUACGUAGGUGGCGAGCGUUAUCCGGAAUUAUUGGGCGUAAAGCGCGCGCAGGCGGUUUCUUAAGUCUGAUGUGAAAGCCCACGGCUCAACCGUGGAGGGUCAUUGGAAACUGGGAAACUUGAGUGCAGAAGAGGAAAGCGGAAUUCCACGUGUAGCGGUGAAAUGCGUAGAGAUGUGGAGGAACACCAGUGGCGAAGGCGGCUUUCUGGUCUGUAACU